This 490-nucleotide ribosomal RNA is filed under the name uncultured bacterium. RNAcentral's name for it is "bacterial SSU rRNA". It matches the Rfam family "Bacterial small subunit ribosomal RNA", at positions 29 to 513 of the family's 1533-position model. The record is from RNAcentral.
AACGAACGCUGGCGGCGCGCCUAAUACAUGCAAGUCGAGCGAGAAGGUGUAGCAAUACACUUGUAAAGCGGCGAACGGGUGAGGAAUACAUGGGUAAUCUACCAUCGAGUGGGGAAUAACCAACCGAAAGGUUGGCUAAUACCGCGUACGCCUCCGAGUCUUCGGGUUCGGAGGGAAAGCUGCACUGUGAGUGUAGCGCUCUUUGAUGAGCUCAUGUCCUAUCAGCUUGUUGGUAGGGUAACGGCCUACCAAGGCUUUGACGGGUAGCUGGUCUGAGAGGACGAUCAGCCACACUGGCACUGCGACACGGGCCAGACUCCUACGGGAGGCAGCAGUAAGGAAUAUUGCGCAAUGGGCGAAAGCCUGACGCAGCGACGCCGCGUGGGGGAUGAAGGUCUUCGGAUUGUAAACCCCUUUCGGAGGGAAGAUGGAGCGAGCAAUCGUUCGGACGGUACCUCCAGAAGCAGCCGCGGCCAACUUCGUGCCAGCA